CCUACGGGAGGCAGCAGUGGGGAAUAUUGCGCAAUGGGCGAAAGCCUGACGCAGCGACGCCGCGUGAGGGAUGAAGGUCUUCGGAUCGUAAACCUCUGUCAGCAGGGAAGAACGGUCCCUGUGCUAAUCAGCAGUGAAUUGACGGUACCUGCAAAGGAAGCACCGGCUAACUACGUGCCAGCAGACGCGGUAAUACGGAGGGUGCGAGCGUUCAUCGGGAUUACUGGUCGUAAAGCGCUCGUCGGCGGUAUGUCAAGUCAAGGGUGAAAUCCCCGCGCUCAACGUGGGAACUGCCUUUGAAACGGGCAAACGGGAGUGGGUGAGAGGAUAGUGGAAUUCCAGGUGUAGGAGUGAAAUCCGUAGAUAUCUGGAGGAACAUCAGUGGCGAAGGCGACUAUCUGGCACAUAACUGACGCUGAGGGGCGAAAGCGUGGGUAGCAAACAGGAUUAGAUACCCCAGUAGUC
This 465-nucleotide ribosomal RNA is filed under the name uncultured bacterium. RNAcentral describes it as "partial 16S ribosomal RNA". It matches the Rfam family "Bacterial small subunit ribosomal RNA", at positions 338 to 795 of the family's 1533-position model. The record is from RNAcentral.